RNAcentral lists this ribosomal RNA (375 nucleotides) under uncultured Proteiniclasticum sp. RNAcentral's name for it is "bacterial SSU rRNA". It matches the Rfam family "Bacterial small subunit ribosomal RNA", at positions 515 to 889 of the family's 1533-position model. Lineage: Bacteria; Bacillati; Bacillota; Clostridia; Eubacteriales; Clostridiaceae. The record is from RNAcentral.
CCGCGGUAAUACGUAGGUGGCGAGCGUUGUCCGGAAUUACUGGGCGUAAAGGAUGCGUAGGUGGAUACUUAAGUGGGAUGUGAAAUUCCCGGGCUCAACCCGGGAACUGCAUUCCAAACUGGGUAUCUAGAGUGCAGGAGAGGAAAGCGGAAUUCCUAGUGUAGCGGUGAAAUGCGUAGAUAUUAGGAGGAACACCAGUGGCGAAGGCGGCUUUCUGGACUGUAACUGACACUGAGGCAUGAAAGCGUGGGUAGCAAACAGGAUUAGAUACCCUGGUAGUCCACGCCGUAAACGAUGGGUACUAGGUGUAGGAGGUAUCGACCCCUUCUGUGCCGUCGUUAACACAAUAAGUACCCGCCUGGGGAGUACGGUCGC